CAAGGUAGACGGGCAGUCGCUUUUUUAAAAAAAGAGGAAAGUCUGAGCACCAUCGGAUUAGAAUGCCGGCUAACUGCCGGGCAGGGUAACUUGACGGAAAGUGCAACAGAAAGUAAACCGCCAUUUGGUAAGGGUGAAACGGUGAGGUAAGAGCUCACCUCAAUUAAGGAGACUUAAUUGGAUUGGCAAACCCCAUUCGGUGCAAGGUUAAAUAGAGGAGCUAAUGCGAAUCCGACAAGCUUCUGGGUAAACCGCUUGAUUUAUUUGGCAACAAAUAAACUAGAUAAAUGACUGCUGCCUUUUAAAGGUACAGAACUCAGCUUAUAGUUUGCCUUGAUCA
Molecule: RNase P RNA, 340 nt
Filed under: Chloroflexota bacterium
Lineage: Bacteria; Bacillati; Chloroflexota
Description: RNase P RNA component class A
Rfam family: Bacterial RNase P class A
About the family: Ribonuclease P (RNase P) is a ubiquitous endoribonuclease, found in archaea, bacteria and eukarya as well as chloroplasts and mitochondria. Its best characterised activity is the generation of mature 5'-ends of tRNAs by cleaving the 5'-leader elements of precursor-tRNAs. Cellular RNase Ps are ribonucleoproteins.
Source: RNAcentral